UCCCCUUCUUUUCAAUCUGGGAGGCUGAAAUUUGACAGACACAUCAUGGCAAAGUUGUGCAGCAGCGAUACAAGUAGAUGCUGAAGAAAAGGGAGGAAUCUGAGCGCAGGAUAAAAUGCUCAAGAAAAUCCCAUUGGUGGAAUGUUUGUGAGAGAAAAAAAAGGAAUGGAUUGUGCCAGUUUCUGCAUAUGUCCCUGUAAAUACGGAUGC
This 210-nucleotide long non-coding RNA is filed under the name Homo sapiens (human). Its description in RNAcentral is "HSALNT0040742". Lineage: Eukaryota; Metazoa; Chordata; Mammalia; Primates; Hominidae. The record is from RNAcentral.